This 385-nucleotide unclassified non-coding RNA is filed under the name Artemisia haussknechtii. RNAcentral's name for it is "partial external transcribed spacer". The record is from RNAcentral. Lineage: Eukaryota; Viridiplantae; Streptophyta; Magnoliopsida; Asterales; Asteraceae.
GAGUGGUGUUUGGUUUGUUACGUGUGGUUGGCUGCGGCGUUUGCAACAACUUCCAUGCUUUCAGACCUCUUCAGUUGUGCGGCAAGGCUUGUAUCGCCUUGAGCGUACUGUGGGUUUUCUGUGUUGGCUACCUAAUCAACGGUAUCGGUUGGAUUGAUCAAAGUUUGAUUUCGUCUUUCGUCGCAUUCGCGGCGUGAGGUGAACCUCGAUGCGGUCUCUUUGAUCCACCUUGUUGAAGCACUUGCUUCGACGUUGUGGCACAUUGAGCAUUGCUUGGUCUCUUGUAUACGGAACAUAUAGUGGGCAUGGAUCUAACGAUCCUCGUUUGCCCUCAUAUUAGCGUAACGCUUCUCUAACACGACUUGCGCCAUGUUUUAGCUCGUAC